UGACGCGUAGUAUAACGGUAGUACACCUCACUACGGAUGAUGGAAUAGAGGUUCGAGUCCUCUCGCGUCAG
RNAcentral lists this transfer RNA (71 nucleotides) under Candida gigantensis. RNAcentral's name for it is "tRNA-Arg". It matches the Rfam family "tRNA". From Rfam's summary of the family: Transfer RNA (tRNA) molecules are approximately 80 nucleotides in length. Their secondary structure includes four short double-helical elements and three loops (D, anti-codon, and T loops). The record is from RNAcentral. Lineage: Eukaryota; Fungi; Ascomycota; Pichiomycetes; Serinales; Debaryomycetaceae.